This 253-nucleotide ribosomal RNA is filed under the name uncultured bacterium. RNAcentral's name for it is "partial 16S ribosomal RNA". It matches the Rfam family "Bacterial small subunit ribosomal RNA", at positions 524 to 776 of the family's 1533-position model. The record is from RNAcentral.
UACGUAGGGUGCGAGCGUUAAUCGGAAUUACUGGGCGUAAAGCGUGCGCAGGCGGUUUCACAAGCUCGAUGUGAAAGCCCCGGGCUUAACCUGGGAAUGGCAUUGAGGACUGUGGAGCUCGAGUGCGGCAGAGGGAGGUGGAAUUCCACGUGUAGCAGUGAAAUGCGUAGAGAUGUGGAGGAACACCGAUGGCGAAGGCGGGACUCUGGGCCGAUACUGACGCUGAGGAGCGAAAGCGUGGGGAGCAAACAGG